This 600-nucleotide small RNA is filed under the name Christensenella timonensis. The record is from RNAcentral. Lineage: Bacteria; Bacillati; Bacillota; Clostridia; Christensenellales; Christensenellaceae.
GGUUUAUGGUGGUGCAGUAUUCUAGUCGGUACUGCCGAUUUCGAAGGCGGGCCUAAAAAUCCGUUAAAGGGCACAUCGAUGAAGUUUCUGGUGCUGGCCGCUGACGCCCCGUCGGGGGCUGGUGCUGGGAGUUAAGAAAGAAGGGCGAUCCAUAAGGGCAUAUGGGCGUUGACCCAGCUUUCGCGGAGACCUGCUUGGGUGGUGAGACCUUUUCAUUACUGGGCAGGGUGGAACCUGUUAUGCGGUACUACGCUGUGUACAGAGUAGCCUGUCUUGCGUUGGCAUGGUGGAAAAGCAGGAAGACGAUCACUGAAACAUUGCGUACGGAUGUUCAGGGACCAUGACUGUAAAAAACCAUGCUGGCAAAAGAGACUAGAAAUCGGAUUUGUGCUGUCGAGGAAAGCUCCUAGACUGUAUUUCAGGCAAUAAGGGGAUUAUAGUGUGGUUUGAACAGGCAAUCCGGUCGUGCAGCAGGUAACACUGCACCGCAGGCUCUAAGGGGAAACCACUCCUUUCGGCGACGGGGAGCAGACUGUGGGGAAAUCCUACCGGACCAAAUACUGCAAGGUCUACCCUUAUUGUCACCACCAUAUUUUUAUA